This 272-nucleotide unclassified non-coding RNA is filed under the name uncultured fungus. RNAcentral's name for it is "partial contains 5.8S ribosomal RNA, internal transcribed spacer 2, and large subunit ribosomal RNA". Lineage: Eukaryota; Fungi. The record is from RNAcentral.
AACGCACAUUGCGCCCAUGAGUAUUCUCUUGGGCAUGCCUGUUCGAGCGUCAUUUCAACCCUUAAGCUUAGCUUAGUGUUGGGAAUCUACUAUCCGGGCGGAGCUACCCUGUAGCUUACCCUGUAGUUCCUGAAAACCAACGGCGGAUUUACAGUGUCCUCUGAGCGUAGUAAUUAUUCUCUCGCUUCCGUCAGGCGCUGUAACUCUGGCCGCUAAACCCUUAAACUCAAAUGGUUGACCUCGGAUCAGGUAGGAAUACCCGCUGAACUUAA